GGCAUCAGCCAAGCAGCACCAGGUUCCUGUGUAAGCAGGCAGUGCCCUGAAUUAGUUGAUUUCUGCCUCACUCCCUGAUGUCUGAGUUUGGAGAUGUACCAAGAACUGGUAGUUUUUGCAGUGGGAUGUUCCCUAGAAACUGCAUGGAGCUGAGCCAAGGAACUUAAAGGGACUGAGCAAGCAAAGUCAAGAAAGAAAGAAGAAGGGAACUGAGGCAGCAGCCAAGCAGCCCCAAAUUCCUCCACAACCAAGGAAUAACUCCUGUCAGCAGCAAGGUCCCG
Molecule: long non-coding RNA, 281 nt
Organism: Pipra filicauda (Wire-tailed manakin)
Lineage: Eukaryota; Metazoa; Chordata; Aves; Passeriformes; Pipridae
Exons: 3
Source: RefSeq, a predicted model, not a curated record